Molecule: ribosomal RNA, 725 nt
Filed under: uncultured archaeon
Lineage: Archaea
Description: bacterial SSU rRNA
Rfam family: Archaeal small subunit ribosomal RNA
Source: RNAcentral
GGAUAAUACCCCAUAGAUCAGGGACGCUGGAAUGCCCCCUGGUUGAAAGGUCCGCCGCCUUAGGAUGGGUCUGCGGCCGAUUGGGUUGUUGUUGGGGUAACGGCCCAACAAGCCAUUGAUCGGUACGGGUUGUGGGAGCAAGAGCCCGGAGAUGGAUUCUGAGACACGAAUCCAGGCCCUACGGGGCGCAGCAGGCGCGAAAACUUUACAAUGCGGGAAACCGUGAUAAGGGAACCCCGAGUGCCCGUAAAUUCGGGCUGUUCAUCAGUGUAAAUAACUGGUAGAGAAAGGGCCGGGCAAGACCGGUGCCAGCCGCCGCGGUAAUACCGGCGGCUCGAGUGGUGGCCACUAUUACUGGGCUUAAAGCGUCCGUAGCUGGAUUGUUAAGUCUCUUGGGAAAUCUACCGGCUUAACCGAUAGGCGUUCAGGAGAUACUGGCAAUCUAGGGACCGGGAGAGGUGAGAGGUACUCCAGGGGUAGGAGUGAAAUCCUGUAAUCCUUGGGGGACCACCUGUGGCGAAGGCGUCUCACUAGAACGGCUCCGACAGUGAGGGACGAAAGCUGGGGGAGCAAACCGGAUUAGAUACCCGGGUAGUCCCAGCUGUAAACGAUGCGCGUUAGGUGUAUCGGUGACCACGAGUCACCGAGGUGCCGAAGAGAAAUCGUGAAACGUGCCGCCUGGGAAGUACGGUCGCAAGGCUGAAACUUAAAGGAAUUGGCGGGGG